RNAcentral lists this long non-coding RNA (1358 nucleotides) under Oryzias sinensis (Chinese medaka). RNAcentral's name for it is "lncRNA (ENSOSIG00000023194.1)". The record is from RNAcentral. Lineage: Eukaryota; Metazoa; Chordata; Actinopteri; Beloniformes; Adrianichthyidae.
GGGGGGGGCAAGAGCAUGUCUUAGGAGCAGAAGGAGAGAUGGAAGAGUGGAAGCGGGAAAGAGCAAGAGAAGUGAGGACAUAACUGUAGAAAAACGAGCACAUGUGUGAGUGUUUGCUUUAUUGCAGAGGCCCCACCUACCCCUCCAUCCUGUUAAGGAGGCACAGUCCUGAGGAGGAGGGGUAGGAUGGUGAGGAUCCCCUCCCUCAGCCAAGAGCGCACACACACACACACACGCUCUCUGUGGUUCAUACACUCUGUUCAGUGAAGGAGCAGCCGCUGCUCUGGAUAGACCACGCAAGAUUCUGCAGGUGUCCCACCCUUCUCUCAAGUCUUGGACGCCUCAGGAAGCAUCUUCCGGAGGUCUCCUCUCCCUGGCUGAUGUUAGCGAUGUGUCAGCAGUAAGCUAGGCCUGCCUGCGAGGCUGCUGGGCUGUGGUGGCGUCCAUCCCAGUCUGGCUAAAGGCCAGACCAGACAUGUCAUGGCACAACACAACGGAGAUAUGACAAGAUCAAGGAUUGGCAGAAAUAUUCUGUUACAAGAUGCAGUAUUGUUGAUCUAGUAAUAAACAAAGAACUCAAGUUUAAUAUUUAAAUAAAAACAAUGUUUUUUCCCUCCCCUUUUGUCUUUUUCCCUAACAGUCUGCUAUGAUGGAAGCAAGAUGUGAUGCUUGAAAAAGGAAGGGAUGUCAGAGGGGCGUGCAGCACACACACUGCGUUGGGCUCAAACCCAAAAAAGUCAUAAAACAUGUGUUUGUUGGGGUCAUAGGCUGAAAGCUGGUGAAUGGUGACCUGAGUGAGAUGCCUUGGUGACAUCUGACCUCUAACUGGGUGUGUGGCUGACCCUGGAGGAUGCAGCUCAACAAUGGAAGGCACGUGCCUCAGCCUAAUCACCAUGAGGAAACAUCUGACCCCUCAACAAAAAGGUUUGUCACCCCCAUUUACCCCAAUUUUGUGUCAAUAUUAGUAUAAUUAUUGAGAAAGGUUAAGAAGCCACCAAAGCUUCUUUAAGCUCUUCAAAAAUUACUAAAGCCACAUUAUUAAAUGAAAAAUUUUAAGGUCUUUCAGGAAUUUCUGCACAAAGUAAUUUUUGCUACUGCUUAAUAUUAGUAAUAGCACUUGCUCUAAAAGAAUGGUUACUUUAUCAUUAUUAAUUCAAAUUUGAAAAACGUGUUUUUGAUCCUUUAAUCUAUAAUGGCCUUUCACUCUGCUGUUCUCAUUUGCCGCCCUUCCAGAGUCUUCUGCCCACCCUCCCAAACAAAAUGUUCCAGCUCUGCUAUGGAUUUGGCUAAUAUCUAAAAUGACAACAUCCAUCCAUUUUCUUAACCUGCCAUAUUCCUUUCGUGGUCACUAGGUUGCC